Molecule: ribosomal RNA, 484 nt
Filed under: uncultured bacterium
Lineage: Bacteria
Description: partial 16S ribosomal RNA
Rfam family: Bacterial small subunit ribosomal RNA
Source: RNAcentral
AUUGAACGCUGGCGGCAGGCCUAACACAUGCAAGUCGAGCGGAUGAAGGGAGCUUGCUCCUGGAUUCAGCGGCGGACGGGUGAGUAAUGCCUAGGAAUCUGCCUGGUAGUGGGGGAUAACGUCCGGAAACGGGCGCUAAUACCGCAUACGUCCUGAGGGAGAAAGUGGGGGAUCUUCGGACCUCACGCUAUCAGAUGAGCCUAGGUCGGAUUAGCUAGUUGGUGGGGUAAAGGCCUACCAAGGCGACGAUCCGUAACUGGUCUGAGAGGAUGAUCAGUCACACGGGAACUGAGACACGGUCCAGACUCCCACGGGAGGCAGCAGUGGGGAAUAUUGGACAAUGGGCGAAAGCCUGAUCCAGCCAUGCCGCGUGUGUGAAGAAGGUCUUCGGAUUGUAAAGCACUUUAAGUUGGGAGGAAGGGCAGUAAGUUAAUACCUUGCUGUUUUGACGUUACCAACAGAAUAAGCACCGGCUAACUUCGUG